Long non-coding RNA from Adelges cooleyi (spruce gall adelgid), 169 nucleotides. RefSeq lists it as uncharacterized. The transcript is spliced from 3 exons. Lineage: Eukaryota; Metazoa; Arthropoda; Insecta; Hemiptera; Adelgidae. The record is from RefSeq and is a predicted model, not a curated record.
UUAUGAAAUUAUAGGAAAGACCACACGUAGAAAAACAAGAACUUAUCUUACUGGAAAAGCUUUAGACAAUUUACUUGACCAAAUAUAUGAUAUUCCUCCACUUGAUGAUGAAAACCAAACUGUUACUGUACAUGAUGAUAAAUACAAAAUAAUUUACAAAGCUACUCGU